GACGAACGCUGGCGGCGUGCUUAACACAUGCAAGUCGAACGGAAAGGCCCUGCUUUUGUGGGGUGCUCGAGUGGCGAACGGGUGAGUAACACGUGAGUAACCUGCCCUUGACUUUGGGAUAACUUCAGGAAACUGGGGCUAAUACCGGAUAGGAGCUCCUGCUGCAUGGUGGGGGUUGGAAAGUUUCGGCGGUUGGGGAUGGACUCGCGGCUUAUCAGCUUGUUGGUGGGGUAGUGGCUUACCAAGGCUUUGACGGGUAGCCGGCCUGAGAGGGUGACCGGCCACAUUGGGACUGAUGUACGGCCCAGACUCCUACGGGAGGCAGCAGUGGGGAAUAUUGCACAAUGGGCGGAAGCCUGAUGCAGCAACGCCGCGUGCGGGAUGACGGCCUUCGGGUUGUAAACCGCUUUCGCCUGUGACGAAGCGUGAGUGACGGUAAUGGGUAAAGAAGCACCGGCUAACUACGUG
This 468-nucleotide ribosomal RNA is filed under the name uncultured bacterium. RNAcentral describes it as "partial 16S ribosomal RNA". It matches the Rfam family "Bacterial small subunit ribosomal RNA", at positions 28 to 507 of the family's 1533-position model. The record is from RNAcentral.